This 466-nucleotide ribosomal RNA is filed under the name Vreelandella stevensii. RNAcentral describes it as "partial 16S ribosomal RNA". It matches the Rfam family "Bacterial small subunit ribosomal RNA", at positions 338 to 795 of the family's 1533-position model. The record is from RNAcentral. Lineage: Bacteria; Pseudomonadati; Pseudomonadota; Gammaproteobacteria; Oceanospirillales; Halomonadaceae.
CCUACGGGGGGCUGCAGUGGGGAAUAUUGGACAAUGGGGGCAACCCUGAUCCAGCCAUGCCGCGUGUGUGAAGAAGGCCCUCGGGUUGUAAAGCACUUUCAGUGAGGAAGAACGCCUGGUGGUUAAUACCCAUCAGGAAAGACAUCACUCACAGAAGAAGCACCGGCUAACUCCGUGCCAGCAGCCGCGGUAAUACGGAGGGUGCGAGCGUUAAUCGGAAUUACUGGGCGUAAAGCGCGCGUAGGUGGCUUGAUAAGCCGGUUGUGAAAGCCCCGGGCUCAACCUGGGAACGGCAUCCGGAACUGUCAAGCUAGAGUGCAGGAGAGGAAGGUAGAAUUCCCGGUGUAGCGGUGAAAUGCGUAGAGAUCGGGAGGAAUACCAGUGGCGAAGGCGGCCUUCUGGACUGACACUGACACUGAGGUGCGAAAGCGUGGGUAGCAAACAGGAUUAGAUACCCUUGGUAGUC